CCCAGACAGGCUCGUAUACAGUCGAGCGGAUGACGGGAGCUUGCUCCUUGAUUAGCGGCGGACGGGUGAGUAAUGCCUAGGAAUCUGCCUGGUAGUGGGGGACAACGUUUCGAAAGGAACGCUAAUACCGCAUACGUCCUACGGGAGAAAGCAGGGGACCUUCGGGCCUUGCGCUAUCAGAUGAGCCUAGGUCGGAUUAGCUAGUUGGUGGGGUAAUGGCUCACCAAGGCGACGAUCCGUAACUGGUCUGAGAGGAUGAUCAGUCACACUGGAACUGAGACACGGUCCAGACUCCUACGGGAGGCAGCAGUGGGGAAUAUUGGACAAUGGGCGAAAGCCUGAUCCAGCCAUGCCGCGUGUGUGAAGAAGGUCUUCGGAUUGUAAAGCACUUUAAGUUGGGAGGAAGGGCAGUAAGCUAAUACCUUGCUGUUUUGACGUUACCGACAGAAUAAGCACCGGCUAACUCUGUGCCAGCAGCCGCGGUAAUACAGAGGGUGCAAGCGUUAAUCGGAAUUACUGGGCGUAAAGCGCGCGUAGGUGGUUCGUUAAGUUGGAUGUGAAAGCCCCGGGCUCAACCUGGGAACUGCAUCCAAAACUGGCGAGCUAGAGUACGGUAGAGGGUGGUGGAAUUUCCUGUGUAGCGGUGAAAUGCGUAGAUAUAGGAAGGAACACCAGUGGCGAAGGCGACCACCUGGACUGAUACUGACACUGAGGUGCGAAAGCGUGGGGAGCAAACAGGAUUAGAUAC
This 748-nucleotide ribosomal RNA is filed under the name Pseudomonas plecoglossicida. RNAcentral's name for it is "bacterial SSU rRNA". It matches the Rfam family "Bacterial small subunit ribosomal RNA", at positions 47 to 785 of the family's 1533-position model. Lineage: Bacteria; Pseudomonadati; Pseudomonadota; Gammaproteobacteria; Pseudomonadales; Pseudomonadaceae. The record is from RNAcentral.